UGUGUAGUUGUACAAAGAACACAGAAUUCAGUUGAACGUGCUAUGUCCGUGUGUGAAAAAUACAUGUAAAGGGCUUUGAAAUCUUAGAAGUUAGUAAGGAGCACACAGCAUCAGCAGCUAGGGUUUAUCAAGUGCCUACUGAAUGCCAGGCACUGUGCUAAGAUUGUCACAAUGAUUUGAUAAUUGUAUCACUAUUAGUCCCCGGCAUUUGAAGAUUGCUGGCCCCAUUCUAAGCACUUUUCAUGCCUUAGCUCAUGUAGACUCAAAACAACCCGGUGAGAUGAGGAAACUGAAACACAGAGCAGGGAAAUAAACAACUACUUAGUAAUGUGAGCUGGGCACCGUGAUUACCUACAUUCCACUGGAUAAGAAAUUGACAGGAGAUGAGUUCUGAGCCACUACUGCUGGGUGUCUGCUCCUGGGGUACCUGCUGGCCCUGAAUCACCCCUCUGGAUUCCUGGGACUCCAGGAACUUUGGGAUCCAGAGAAGCGAGCUCUUCCAUCCCAGGACCCAUGACUGCCCACGCUGUUGAGCUUCUGAGGGCAGGGACCAUGUUUUCUCUCUCAGAGCCAGGGCUGCAUGUUGGAACUGGCCCUGACAGUGUCAGUUAAACUUUCACGAAACAAAUGUUCCUGAACUUGAAGCCAUAGGACAGGACUCUGAAGAUCACAGAAUCACACAGUGAGAAAAUGAUGCCCUUUUCAGCUCUGCACCAGUCCUUCUCAUGACAGAAAGGAGAGUGUCUCGGGUUGGUUCGAGGAUGUCUUUAACCCCUCUCAUCGUUGCCCGUCUCGACACAGAACCAAGAACAGGCGGGUCCUAGACUCAGACUCUAGUGGACGAAUGUGUCCAGCAAAAGUAACAGCAUUACUUUAUUUUACAAUUAUCUUCAACGUAUACCAAGUGAUACUGGUUUUCCAUUUAUAAUGGCAAUGUAGCUUCCCUUGAGUUUGUUUUAAAUUUUAAUUCAAUUUCAGACAUACGGAAAAGUUGCGAGCAUAGUAGAGUUCCUGGAUGCCUUUCACCCAGAUUCCCUUAGUGUUAAUAUUUUCUCCCAAUCUCUCUCUCUGUGUCUCCCCCUACCUUCCCCACCAAACUACCUACCUACCUACCUACCUACACACACACACACACACACACACACACACACACACACUUUUUUUCUGAAUUAUUUAAAAGCAUGCUGUUCUUUCACUGCCAGUCCUGGUAAUGUCCUUUAUGGCAAAAGAAAACCCCAGGCCAUGCCUUGCGUUCAGUUGGGAUCCCUCUUUUUUUUUCCUUUUUUUGCCAUAGAGUUUCAUUCUUGUCACCCAGGCUGGAGUGCAAUGGCGUGGUCUCGGCUCACUGCAACCUCUGCCUCCCGGGUUCAAGCGAUUCUCCUGUCUCAGCCUCCCGAAGUGCUGGGAUUACAGGCACCCACCACCACGCCCGGCUAAUUUUUUGUAUUUUUAGUAGAGAUGGGGUUUCACCAUGUUGGCCAGGCUGGUCUUGAACUCCUGACCUCAGGUGAUCCGCCUGCCUCGGCCUCCCAAAGUGCUGGGAUUACAGGUGUGAGCCACCGCACCAGGCCUCUUUUACCUCUAAAUGUGUCAGUACUCCAGUGUGUAUUUCCUAAAAGCAAGACUAUUUUAUUACAUAAGUAUAGUACACUUUUCAAAAUCAGGGAACUAACACUGAUAUAACCCUGUAGUCACUAGACCUCCUUCCUGUUUCACUGCCUGUCCUUGUAAUGUCCUUUAUGGCAAAAGAAAACGUCAGGUCAUGCCUUGCCUUCACUCGGGAUGCCUCUUUGACUCUUUUCAUCUGAAACAGUUUUUGAGUCUUUGUAUUCUAUGACAUUGGCAUUUUUGAAAAGUACCUGCCAGAUAUUUUUUAAGAUGUCUAAAAAUUCC
RNAcentral lists this long non-coding RNA (1893 nucleotides) under Homo sapiens (human). RNAcentral describes it as "HSALNT0362967". The record is from RNAcentral. Lineage: Eukaryota; Metazoa; Chordata; Mammalia; Primates; Hominidae.